RNAcentral lists this ribosomal RNA (541 nucleotides) under uncultured bacterium. Its description in RNAcentral is "bacterial SSU rRNA". It matches the Rfam family "Bacterial small subunit ribosomal RNA", at positions 47 to 578 of the family's 1533-position model. The record is from RNAcentral.
CCUAACACAUGCAAGUCGAACGGUAACAGGAAGAGGCUCGCUUCUUUGCUGACGAGUGGCGGACGGGUGAGUAAUGUCUGGGAAACUGCCUGAUGGAGGGGGAUAACUACUGGAAACGGUAGCUAAUACCGCAUAACGUCGCAAGACCAAAGAGGGGGACCAUCGGGCCUCUUGCCAUCGGAUGUGCCCAGAUGGGAUUAGCUUGUUGGUGGGGUAACGGCUCACCAAGGCGACGAUCCCUAGCUGGUCUGAGAGGAUGACCAGCCACACUGGAACUGAGACACGGUCCAGACUCCUACGGGAGGCAGCAGUGGGGAAUAUUGCACAAUGGGCGCAAGCCUGAUGCAGCCAUGCCGCGUGUAUGAAGAAGGCCUUCGGGUUGUAAAGACUUUCAGCGGGGAGGAAGGGAGUAAAGUUAAUACCUUUGCUCAUUGACGUUACCCGCAGAAGAAGCACCGGCUAACUCCGUGCCAGCAGCCGCGGUAAUACGGAGGGUGCAAGCGUUAAUCGGAAUUACUGGGCGUAAAGCGCACGCAGGCGG